RNAcentral lists this long non-coding RNA (201 nucleotides) under Cucumis sativus (cucumber). Its description in RNAcentral is "long non-coding RNA (CSAT_LNC001655)". The record is from RNAcentral. Lineage: Eukaryota; Viridiplantae; Streptophyta; Magnoliopsida; Cucurbitales; Cucurbitaceae.
ACAAAUCAGAAGCUACAACGAUCUGAGAUUAAUUGGCUAAACUCAUUAACCACACUAAUCAAUAUUCGUUAUAUGUGUAUAUUCCACUAAAGACUCAUAGAUUAACUUUUCUCACUGUAGAUAUAUUUUUGUGUCCACGGAUAUAGACACGUGUGUUCAUAACACCAGUUGGGUCAAUUUAUCAUUUUACCCCUAGGUUAC